GGCCCAGUAGCGGAUGGUCCGCGUCUGCAAAACUCGAGGUGGUACUCAUGUUUACCUGCAGAAGAAGCUCGUUCGAUUCGAGCCUGGGCCA
Molecule: non-coding RNA, 91 nt
Organism: Mycena rebaudengoi
Lineage: Eukaryota; Fungi; Basidiomycota; Agaricomycetes; Agaricales; Mycenaceae
Source: the annotation of a GenBank genome assembly